UAUGAGGAAAAGAAACCAACAGGGAUUGCCUCAGUAACGGCGAGUGAAGCGGCAAAAGCUCAAAUUUGAAAUCCCCCGGGAACUGUAAUUUUGAAGAGAUUUGGGUCCGGCCGGCGGGGGUUAAGUCCACUGGAAAGUGGCGCCACAGAGGGUGACAGCCCCGUGAACCCCUUCAACGCCCUCAUCCCAGAUCUCCAAGAGUCGAGUUGUUUGGGAAUGCAGCUCUAAGUGGGUGGUAAAUUCCAUCUAAAGCUAAAUACCGGCGAGAGACCGAUAGCGAACAAGUACAGUGAUGGAAAGAUGAAAAGCACUUUGAAAAGAGAGUGAAAAAGUACGUGAAAUUGUUGAAAGGGAAGGGCUUGCAGCAGACACUUAACUGGGCCAGCAUCGGGGCGGCGGGAAACAAAACCACCGGGGAAUGUACCUUUCGAGGAUUAUAACCCCGGUCUCUAUUUCCUUGUUGCCCCGAGGCCUGCAAUCUAAGGAUGCUGGCGUAAUGGUUGCAAGUCGCCCGUUGA
Molecule: ribosomal RNA, 518 nt
Filed under: Metschnikowia sp. (in: budding yeasts & allies)
Lineage: Eukaryota; Fungi; Ascomycota; Pichiomycetes; Serinales; Metschnikowiaceae
Description: eukaryotic LSU rRNA
Rfam family: Eukaryotic large subunit ribosomal RNA
Source: RNAcentral